Molecule: long non-coding RNA, 225 nt
Filed under: Medicago truncatula (barrel medic)
Lineage: Eukaryota; Viridiplantae; Streptophyta; Magnoliopsida; Fabales; Fabaceae
Description: long non-coding RNA (MTRU_LNC000508)
Source: RNAcentral
CUCUAGAAAAGAAGAUCAAAGUUGUUUCAACUUCAAGAAACAUGGACACUUCAUUUCUGAUUGUCCUGAAUUGCAGAACGAGAAAUCAGAAGAGAAAUCAAAGAAACCAACCUUCAAAUCCAACAAGAUUUGAAUCGUGAAUCUCUCAAUUCUAAGAUUGAAAUCUUAACUCACAUUGCUUUAGUUAUUUGUCAAAUUUGUUGUGAUUGUUCGUGCAAAAAUUCA